CCAAUAGCGUAUAUUAAAGUUGUUGCAGUUAAAAAGCUCGUAGUUGAAUUUCAGGCCUGGCUGGACGGUCCGCCUUUUGGGUGAGUACUGUCUGUGGUCGGGUCCUACCUUCUGGCGAAGCGCCAUGGCCUUAACCGGCCGUGGCGGGGAACCAGGACUUUUACUGUGAAAAAAUUAGAGUGUUCAAAGCAGGCAGUCGCUUGAAUACAUUAGCAUGGAAUAAUGGAAUAGGACAAUGGUUCUAUUUGUUGGUUUCUAGGACCGUUGUAAUGAUUAAUAGGGAUAGUUGGGGGCAUUAGUAUUCAAUUGUCAGAGGUUAAAUUCUUGGAUUUAUUGAAGACUAACUACUGCGAAAGCAUUUGCCAAGGAUGUUUUCAUUAAUCAAGAACGAAAGUUAGGGGAUCGAAGACGAUCAGAUACCGUCGUAGUCUUAACCAUAAACUAUGCCGACUAGGAAUCGGGCGAUGUUGACAAAAUGACGCGCUCGGCACCUCAUG
RNAcentral lists this ribosomal RNA (497 nucleotides) under uncultured Glomeromycotina. Its description in RNAcentral is "partial small subunit ribosomal RNA". It matches the Rfam family "Eukaryotic small subunit ribosomal RNA", at positions 591 to 1092 of the family's 1831-position model. The record is from RNAcentral. Lineage: Eukaryota; Fungi; Glomeromycota.